CCUACGGGUGGCUGCAGUGGGGAAUAUUGCACAAUGGGGGAAACCCUGAUGCAGCAACGCCGCGUGAGUGAAGAAGUAUCUCGGUAUGUAAAGCUCUAUCAGCAGGGAAGAAGAUGACGGUACCUGAGUAAGAAGCCCCGGCUAACUACGUGCCAGCAGCCGCGGUAAUACGGAGGGGGCAAGCGUUAUCCGGAUUUACUGGGUGUAAAGGGAGCGUAGACGGUGAGACAAGUCUGAUGUGAAAGGUCGGGGCCCAACCCCGGGACUGCAGUGGAAACUGUUGAACUGGAGUACAGGAGAGGUAAGCGGAAUGCCUAGUGUAGCGGUGAAAUGCGUAGAUAUUAGGAGGAACACCGGUGGCGAAGGCGGCUUACUGGACUGUAACUGACGUUGAGGCUCGAAAGCGUGGGGAGCAAACAGGAUUAGAUACCCGGGUAGUC
This 440-nucleotide ribosomal RNA is filed under the name uncultured bacterium. Its description in RNAcentral is "partial 16S ribosomal RNA". It matches the Rfam family "Bacterial small subunit ribosomal RNA", at positions 338 to 795 of the family's 1533-position model. The record is from RNAcentral.